GAUCAUGGCUCAGGAUAAACGCUGGCGGCGCACAUAAGACAUGCAAGUCGAACGAACUUAAUCGAUUCUUUUAGAUUCGAAGCGGUUAGUGGCGGACUGGUGAGUAAUACGUAAGCAACCUACCUAUUAGAGGGGAAUAACAGUGAGAAAUCACUGCUAAAACCGCAUAUGCCGUGAAUAUCUCAUGAUAAAAACGGGAAAAGAGCAAUCUGCUAAUAGAUGGGCUUGCGU
RNAcentral lists this ribosomal RNA (231 nucleotides) under uncultured bacterium. RNAcentral's name for it is "partial 16S ribosomal RNA". It matches the Rfam family "Bacterial small subunit ribosomal RNA", at positions 15 to 236 of the family's 1533-position model. The record is from RNAcentral.